GAUGAACGCUGGCGGCGUGCCUAAUACAUGCAAGUCGAGCGAACAGACGAGGAGCUUGCUCCUUUGACGUUAGCGGCGGACGGGUGAGUAACACGUAGGUAACCUACCUAUAAGACUGGGAUAACUUCGGGAAACCGGAGCUAAUACCGGAUAAUAUUUCGAACCGCAUGGUUCGAUAGUGAAAGAUGGCUUUGCUAUCACUUAUAGAUGGACCUGCGCCGUAUUAGCUAGUUGGUAAGGUAACGGCUUACCAAGGCAACGAUACGUAGCCGACCUGAGAGGGUGUUGGCCCACACGGGAAGUGAGACCCGCUCCAGACUCCUGCGGGAGGCGGCAGUAGGGACUCUUCCGCAGUGGGGGAAGGCGGGACGGACCAGCCCCGCGGGAGAGAUGAGGUUCUUGGGAUCGUAAAACUUUGUUAUGGGGGAAAAAAAAACGUGUAAGUAAGUGGGCACCCCUGGACGGUACCUAAUAAGAAAGCCACGGCUAACUACGGG
RNAcentral lists this ribosomal RNA (497 nucleotides) under uncultured bacterium. Its description in RNAcentral is "partial 16S ribosomal RNA". It matches the Rfam family "Bacterial small subunit ribosomal RNA", at positions 28 to 507 of the family's 1533-position model. The record is from RNAcentral.